RNAcentral lists this transfer RNA (74 nucleotides) under Candidatus Dormiibacterota bacterium. RNAcentral describes it as "tRNA-Arg". It matches the Rfam family "tRNA". Rfam says of the family: Transfer RNA (tRNA) molecules are approximately 80 nucleotides in length. Their secondary structure includes four short double-helical elements and three loops (D, anti-codon, and T loops). Further hydrogen bonds mediate the characteristic L-shaped molecular structure. tRNAs have two regions of fundamental functional importance: the anti-codon, which is responsible for specific mRNA codon recognition, and the 3' end, to which the tRNAs corresponding amino acid is attached (by aminoacyl-tRNA synthetases). tRNAs cope with the degeneracy of the genetic code in two manners: having more than one tRNA (with a specific anti-codon) for a particular amino acid; and 'wobble' base-pairing, i.e. permitting non-standard base-pairing at the 3rd anti-codon position. Lineage: Bacteria; Bacillati; Candidatus Dormiibacterota. RNAcentral also lists the same sequence under 4 other names. The record is from RNAcentral.
GCGCCUGUAGCUCAGUUGGAUAGAGCAACGGAUUUCUAAUCCGUCGGUCGGGGGUUCGAUUCCCUCCAGGCGCG